This 245-nucleotide ribosomal RNA is filed under the name uncultured bacterium. RNAcentral's name for it is "partial 16S ribosomal RNA". It matches the Rfam family "Bacterial small subunit ribosomal RNA", at positions 524 to 768 of the family's 1533-position model. The record is from RNAcentral.
UACGUAGGGGGCGAGCGUUGUCCGGAGUUACUGGGCGUAAAGGGCACGCAGGCGGUGCUGCGCGUUUCGCGUGACAGCGGGUGGCUUAACUACCCGAGGGUGCGAAAGACGGCAGGGCUAGAGGACCAGAGAGGGACACGGAAUUCCGGGUGGAGUGGUGAAAUGCGUAGAGAUCCGGAGGAACACCGAAGGCGAAGGCAGUGUCCUGGCUGGUGACUGACGCUGAGGUGCGAAAGCCAGGGGAG